UACGGAGGAUCCGAGCGUUAUCCGGAUUUAUUGGGUUUAAAGGGUGCGCAGGCAGGAGAUUAAGUCGGCGGUGAAAUUUUGCAGCUCAACUGUAAAAGUGCCUUCGAAACUGGUUUCCUUGAGUGUAGAUGAAGUAGGCGGAAUUUGUGGUGUAGCGGUGAAAUGCUUAGAUAUCACGAGGAACUCCGAUUGCGCAGGCAGCUUACUAAACUACUACUGACGCUCAGGCACGAAGGCGUGGGGAUCAAACAGGAUUAGAUACCCUGGUA
RNAcentral lists this ribosomal RNA (269 nucleotides) under uncultured prokaryote. RNAcentral describes it as "partial 16S ribosomal RNA". It matches the Rfam family "Bacterial small subunit ribosomal RNA", at positions 524 to 792 of the family's 1533-position model. The record is from RNAcentral.